AAUUUUUUCGAUUGUCGAAUUGUUAACUUAAAGUUUGUGUGAAUUAUUUCUCCAUGUAAUAUUCAUGUUACGAUGUAUUUUUCAAUAAAAUUACUACAUAUUGAAAAUUAUGGUGCAAAUACAAGAUACAGUCUCUUUCUAAUUUGAAAAAAAAAUAAUUGAAAUUGUACGAAACGACGUCGUUUAGGCCUCACAAAAACGACGUCGUCUUUACUAAUCCACGUAAGUUGCAAUUCAACACUCUGACGAUCUAAAAAAAAAU
Molecule: long non-coding RNA, 262 nt
Filed under: Salvia miltiorrhiza (redroot sage)
Lineage: Eukaryota; Viridiplantae; Streptophyta; Magnoliopsida; Lamiales; Lamiaceae
Description: long non-coding RNA (SMIL_LNC009774)
Source: RNAcentral